UACGUAGGGUGCGAGCGUUGUCCGGAAUCAUUGGGCGUAAAGCGCUCGUAGGCGGUCUGUUGCGUCGGAUGUGAAAACCCAGGGCUCAACCCUGGGCCUGCAUUCGAUACGGGCAGACUAGAGUUCGGUAGGGGAGACUGGAAUUCCUGGUGUAGCGGUGAAAUGCGUUGAUAUCGGGAGGAACACCAGUGGCGAAGGCGACUUCCUGGCCUGUUCUUGACGCUGAGGCGCGAAAGCUAGGGUAGCAAACGGG
Molecule: ribosomal RNA, 253 nt
Filed under: uncultured bacterium
Lineage: Bacteria
Description: partial 16S ribosomal RNA
Rfam family: Bacterial small subunit ribosomal RNA
Source: RNAcentral